AACGGCGCGAGCAGCAUGCCGGAGUGCGCAUGCGCGGCUGCCUCCCGCCGAGCGCCGGCGUUGCCCAGGCUCUGCGUUUCCCCGCACGGCGUUCGAGGCGCGGGCGGAGCUGCCGCAACAGGAAGCGGCGAUCAGAGAAGCCCGGCGCGCGCGGGUCGGGGUGGGGCGGCGUUCUUGCCGGGCCCUAACGGCCGAGCGGUCCCGGCGGCCCGGAGAGGUGGGAGGAUACGAAAUGAGAUAGGACGGGUCGGAUCGGGUUUUAAUAUCUUUGUUCUGUGGAAAAGAGUAAACUUUGAAGCUUCUCAACUUAAAACAUUUAUUGUUGAAGAUGAUGUUCGUUCCGUGGAGUUCAUAGACUUAAAAAGCUGCAUGAUUGAGAUAAUGAGUUUGUCUUCUCCAGUCAGCCAUGCUGACCAUGAAGCUAAACGCUUAUGUAGUGCCAAGAGUAAGUCACAGUUACUGGAAAAUAGCGAUGCAUCAGAGUUGGACAUUGUUGAAGAUCUGAAAAGGAAACUCUGUCAAGCCAAAGAAGAAAAAGUAGACAUAAUCAUUAAACACAAUCAAGAACUGCGUAACUAUGAAAUCCAGAUUGUCAAAUUACGGUCUGAAUUUGAGAAAGGAGAGGCAGUUCGACAAAGUCUGGAGUAUGAAUUGGCAAUUGCCAGAAAAGAUGCUCGUUUGAGAAUAUGUACUGUAGAAGAAGAGUUAAGUGAUGCAAGAAACAAGCUUGCAGAGCUGCAAGUGUUCAAUGAAAAGCUUCAGCAGAGAGUGGUAGAGACUGAGAAAACAUUUCAUAUUGCUCAACAGAAGUGGAAAGAACAACAGCAAAGACUUGCAAGUGAAAAGGAUGAUAUUCUCAGAACACACAAGGAUGAAUAUGAAUUGGUUCUUAAGGAAAGAAGUGAACUAGAAAGUGUUUUGCAGAAGCAGAAUAGUGCACUGCAAAACUUAUGUAAGAAAAUGAAAGAUAUGGAGCUGGAACAUCAUGACUGUUCUGAACUGCUUACUCACCAAGUACACGAGCUUGAAUGCAGAGCUGAACAAGAGGAGCGUCUUAAGAAAGAUCUCGAAGCAGCUAGAGAUAGAAUAAAGCAAUUGGAAGAAAACAUUGAAGCAGAGAGAGCAGCACAUUUGAAAUCCAAAUUCAAUUUGGAAAUCACCCAGAUGAGAAUUCGAGACCUUGAAGGAGCUUUGCAAGUGGAAAAAGUCAGACAAGCAGAAGCUCUUUCAGAUUUAGAGAUGAUCAAGAAGGAGUUCAAAGAGGUAGAAAAUGCAUAUGAGAUAGAAAACCAGAAUGCCCAGGAGAACUUUGAAAAACUCAGUAGAUUAGAAAGAGAGUAUAUCUUCACAAACGAGCAAAUGAACGAGAAGAUUGAGGAAAAGAAGAAGGUAAUUGAAGAUUUGUCUGAGAGACUUCGGGAUAAUGAAAAAACUCACAGAGAAUUACAAGAUAAACUUACAAUGGCCAAGAAACACCAGGUCUUUGUAACAGAGACGUACGAAAACAACAUGAUAGAGCUGGAGUUACUCUUGGACAGCUUUGCUAUGUCAGGCCAGCGGACAGCAGGCACUUGUGAGGACAAAGAUAAACCGUCAGGCUUCUCUGUCCUUGAGACUUUGAGGUGUACCUUGACAGCUUACCAGAACAAGCUGGAAGACGCGUCUAAUGAGCUUGAGAAAAUGAACACUUUGUGUGAAAACACAACAAAAGAGCUUGAGAUAUCCAAAGACAAAAUGUAUGUUUUAAGUCAAGACCUUAAGGAAGCUCAGGAUAAGCUGGCUGAUGCCAAUAAAGAGUUAAAUCAUCUGCAUACUGAGUGUGCAGACAGAGCGGCUUUAAUAGGAACUUUACAAAUGGAACUACAGAAUGUGCAGCAGUGCUGGGAGGAGGAGAAAGUACGUGCCACAGAAUCUGAAAAUGAAAUCCAGAAGCUUACCAGGGCUUACCAGAAGGAUAUGGAGGAGAAGCUAACCUUCCUCCAUGGCUUGUACCAGCAUUUGGUAGCUGGAUGUGUGCUUAUAAAAGAACCAGAAGGCAUCCUAGAUAGAUUCUCUUGGUCUGAGCUUUGUGCAGUCUUACAGGAGAAUGUUGAUGCCCUGAUCUUAGACCUCAGUGGGGCUAAUGAGAAGGUAUCUCACUUAGAAUAUGUUUGUAAGAACAAGUCCGAUACUAUGAAGGAGCUUCAGCAGAGCCAGGAAGAUGCUAUUAGCAAAAUGGCUGAACAGAUGAAAGCACAGGAAAGCUGUUGGCAGAAACAAAAUAAGUAUCUGGAACAGCAGUACUCAGAUCUCCUUGGGGAAGUUCAUGCAAGGGCACAGGAAUACCAAGAAACAGCAGAGAAAAACAAAGAAAAAAUCUGUGUCCUUGAAAAAAGACUGGAGAAAUUGGUCCUUGAAAAUUUCUAUGUGAAAAAUACAUUAACACAGAUUCAGAAGCAGCAUUCAUCUCUCCUGGCAGCAUGUGCACUAUUGGCAGGAGCCCUGUAUCCUCUCUAUGGCCGAUCAUGUGCUAUGUCUAUACAAAGAGACCUUCUUCAAGAUCAGGUCAACAUUUAUGAAUUAGUCAACCAGGAGAUUAGGACUCUUGUUCAUGCUCUCUCGGGUAUAGAAGAAGAGAAGGAAGAUGAUGCAAAAAUUAAGAAACGAAAAUUCAAAGGCCUGAUACGUGUGUUCCGAAGAGGUGUGAUUGCAGUUUUGGCAGCUAACAGACUUAAAGUUCUAGCCCAGUCUUCUAGUUCUCUCUUCUCACUGAUAAAUGGCUUCAAAGAGGGCACUGGAAUUCUAGUUUGUGUAGGGGACUCCAAAGGCAAGCAUAAUAAGACAAGACACAACGAGGAAGGAAUUCAUUGUGUUGAAGCACUCAACUGGUUUACUAGUUCUGAUCUCCUUACUGCAAUAAUCAGUUCUGUCACAGAAUUACAGGAUGUUAUUAGCAAAACAGAUCCAAAGUCUUGUCUUUCCGGACGCUUACUUGUAAGUGCAGCCAGGAACUCCUUUUCAAAACUUAUGGACAAGCUUAAUGUAAUAAUGGCGACUGUUCCAUUAGAUAGCAGCAGGAGUGUUACUUACAUGGAGAAAAACUCCUUGAUACAGAGGCUGGCUCAUGGACUUCAUAAAGUAAAUGCACGAGCCCUGGAAGCUGGAUUGUGUGACAGACUACCCAUUAUGAAAAGCAUAGCAUCCUUGCAGAAGCAAAUAUUUGAAUUUACACAAAGACUUCAUACAGUAGAGGUGGAACGCCGCUCACUGUGCCUCGAACUUGCAGAAUUCAAGUGGAAUUUCAGUAAGAUGAAAAAAGAGGCUGAUAAAGCCCAGAGCCUGAAAGAGCAAUUAAAUUUGUUUAAGCAAUCUAAAUUGAUCGCUCAUGAGAGGUUUGAAAGUGCAUGUGAAGAAUUAAAUAAUGCAUUACAUCGGGAGCAUCAGGCACAAGUGCUAUUGAAUGAACAGGCACAACAGCUACAGGAGUUAAAUAAUAAACUAGAAUUGCACUCCAGUGAAGAAGCAGAUAAAAACCAAGUCUUAAGUGAAACUGUAAAGAGACUCUCUGAGGCAAAGAUGGAGCUGAGAAGAAAAGAUCAAUCUCUGCGUCAGCUCAAUAGACUUCUUACCCAGCUGGAGCAGGACAAGCGUCGGCUGAAAGAGAGCAUCCAUGAUGCAGAGAGUGCCCUCUGCAUGGCAGCGAAAGACAAAGAAUUGAUCAUUAACCAGAUGAAAUCUGUGGAAACUGCUCUUCAUAUGGUCAGAGAUCAGACCUUGCUGUCAUGGACUGCGGCAACCAGGAAUGACUUCACCCUGCAGCUACCCAAACUGCACCUAGAGACCUUUGCAGUGGAAGGGCUGAAAGGCGGGCCAGAGGUUGUAGCAUUUCAGGCCAUGAUUAAAAGUUUUAUGGAUGUCUACCAACUUGCAAGUUCCAGAGUUGACAUGUUAGUGAAAGAAACAGCACCUCAUCAGCUUCGCACUGCAGUCCCGGUGUCCAAGCUCCAAACAGCUUGCCUUCGUGAAAGUGAGAGCUUACAAUUAAAUGUGUUUCAUAAAGUUAGACUAUCAGAUUUUGAAAAAUGGCCAUUGGACGUGACCAACUACUGUGUUCCGUAAACAUUCUGAAAGCCUAUUUUUGCUAGACCUGCUGUGUCCCAAAUACUUAUUUACCUGAUGAAGUGUAACAGUUUAGAUGGAAUCAUUUCGGCUUAUCAGGAAUCAAGAGGGAGUUCAAACAUCACCAUGACUUCAAGCUAGGAAUUCAGCCUGACCAGUGUUGAAUCCCAGAUUUUUUGGCAUUGCAAGCUGAUCUUGACACAUCCUACAACAGUUUUAUGCACAAUAGAGCCAAUUCUCACUCUUCAGUCUAUUCCUUCAGCCUGAAUGUCACAUCGAGUCCCAAAAGAACAAUGGAAAAUGGAUUUUGUAUCAAUAAUCUUCUAGAAGGAAAAAAAUUGCAUUAAUGUAAAAUGAUGCAAUUAAAGUGCAAUUUUGCUGUUACCUUUGAAUUGUAGUUCAGCGUUUGUAUUUUUUGACAUUAAUUUUACUGUUUUAUGAAAAUGUGCAUUCAUACGUUCACAUUUCUAUGCUUCUAGUUCUUUGCAUACCAAAACAGUUAUUUUUUUUAACUUUUAUUUAUUGUGGUUGCUCAUUUUUUAUGUAAUAUAUUUUUAAAUGUUAAAGAAUGACACAUUUUGGGUAA
Molecule: RNA transcript, 4684 nt
Organism: Numida meleagris (helmeted guineafowl)
Lineage: Eukaryota; Metazoa; Chordata; Aves; Galliformes; Numididae
Gene: CCDC171
Gene name: coiled-coil domain containing 171
Exons: 26
Source: RefSeq, a predicted model, not a curated record